AUUGAACGCUGGCGGCAUGCCUUACACAUGCAAGUCGAACGGCAGCACGGGUGCUUGCACCUGGUGGCGAGUGGCGAACGGGUGAGUAAUAUAUCGGAACGUACCUUAUUGUGGGGGAUAACGCAGCGAAAGCUGUGCUAAUACCGCAUAAUCCCUUAGGGGGAAAGCGGGGGACCGUAAGGCCUCGCGCAAUUAGAGCGGCCGAUACCUGAUUAGCUAGUUGGUGAGGUAAAGGAUCACCAAGGCGACGAUCAGUAGCUGGUCUGAGAGGACGAUCAGCCACACUGGGACUGAGACACGGCGCAGACUCCUACGGGAGGCAGCAGUGGGGAAUUUUGGACAAUGGGGGCAACCCUGAUCCAGCAAUGCCGCGUGAGUGAAGAAGGCCUUCGGGUUGUAAAGCUCUUUUGUCAGGGAAGAAACAGCAGCUCUAACACAGUAUGCGAAUGACGGUACCUGAAGAAUAAGCACCGGUUAACUACGUGCCAGCCGCCGCAGUAA
This 501-nucleotide ribosomal RNA is filed under the name uncultured bacterium. RNAcentral describes it as "partial 16S ribosomal RNA". It matches the Rfam family "Bacterial small subunit ribosomal RNA", at positions 30 to 523 of the family's 1533-position model. The record is from RNAcentral.